UCGAGCGGACAGAUGGGAGCUUGCUCCCUGAUGUUAGCGGCGGACGGGUGAGUAACACGUGGGUAACCUGCCUGUAAGACUGGGAUAACUCCGGGAAACCGGGGCUAAUACCGGAUGGUUGUUUGAACCGCAUGGUUCAAACAUAAAAGGUGGCUUCGGCUACCACUUACAGAUGGACCCGCGGCGCAUUAGCUAGUUGGUGAGGUAACGGCUCACCAAGGCAACGAUGCGUAGCCGACCUGAGAGGGUGAUCGGCCACACUGGGACUGAGACACGGCCCAGACUCCUACGGGAGGCAGCAGUAGGGAAUCUUCCGCAAUGGACGAAAGUCUGACGGAGCAACGCCGCGUGAGUGAUGAAGGUUUUCGGAUCGUAAAGCUCUGUUGUUAGGGAAGAACAAGUACCGUUCGAAUAGGGCGGUACCUUGACGGUACCUAACCAGAAAGCCACGGCUAACUACGUGCCAGCAGCCGCGGUAAUACGUAGGUGGCAAGCGUUGUCCGGAAUUAUUGGGCGUAAAGGGCUCGCAGGCGGUUUCUUAAGUCUGAUGUGAAAGCCCCCGGCUCAACCGGGGAGGGUCAUUGGAAACUGGGGAACUUGAGUGCAGAAGAGGAGAGUGGAAUUCCACGUGUAGCGGUGAAAUGCGUAGAGAUGUGGAGGAACACCAGUGGCGAAGGCGACUCUCUGGUCUGUAACUGACGCUGAGGAGCGAAAGCGUGGGGAGCGAACAGGAUUAGAUACCCUGGUAGUCCACGCCGUAAACGAUGAGUGCU
This 773-nucleotide ribosomal RNA is filed under the name Bacillus tequilensis. RNAcentral's name for it is "bacterial SSU rRNA". It matches the Rfam family "Bacterial small subunit ribosomal RNA", at positions 62 to 817 of the family's 1533-position model. The record is from RNAcentral. Lineage: Bacteria; Bacillati; Bacillota; Bacilli; Caryophanales; Bacillaceae.